GAUGAACGCUAGCGGCAGGCUUAAUACAUGCAAGACGAACGGUAAGUUAGGUAGCAAUACUUGACCUAGAGUGUCGUACGGGUGCGUAACACGUAUGCAACCUACCUUGUACAGGAGUAUAGCUCGGGGAAACCCGUAUUAACCCUCCAUAAUAUCAUUUGGUGGCAUCAUCGAAUGAUUAAAACUGAGGUGGUACAAGA
This 200-nucleotide ribosomal RNA is filed under the name uncultured bacterium. RNAcentral's name for it is "partial 16S ribosomal RNA". It matches the Rfam family "Bacterial small subunit ribosomal RNA", at positions 28 to 225 of the family's 1533-position model. The record is from RNAcentral.